Molecule: ribosomal RNA, 253 nt
Filed under: uncultured bacterium
Lineage: Bacteria
Description: partial 16S ribosomal RNA
Rfam family: Bacterial small subunit ribosomal RNA
Source: RNAcentral
UACGUAGGGCGCAAGCGUUAUCCGGAAUUAUUGGGCGUAAAGAGCUCGUAGGCGGUUUGUCGCGUCUGCCGUGAAAGUCCGGGGCUCAACUCCGGAUCUGCGGUGGGUACGGGCAGACUAGAGUGAUGUAGGGGAGACUGGAAUUCCUGGUGUAGCGGUGAAAUGCGCAGAUAUCAGGAGGAACACCGAUGGCGAAGGCAAGUCUCUGGGCAUUAACUGACGCUGAGGAGCGAAAGCAUGGGGAGCGAACAGG